Molecule: ribosomal RNA, 496 nt
Filed under: uncultured bacterium
Lineage: Bacteria
Description: partial 16S ribosomal RNA
Rfam family: Bacterial small subunit ribosomal RNA
Source: RNAcentral
AUUGAACGCUGGCGGCAUGCUUUACACAUGCAAGUCGAACGGUAGAGGGGGCAACCCCUUGAGAGUGGCGAACGGGUGAGUAAUGCAUCGGAACGUGCCCAGUCGUGGGGGAUAACGCAGCGAAAGCUGUGCUAAUACCGCAUACGAUCUCUGGAUGAAAGCGGGGGACCGAACGGCCUCGCGCGAUUGGAGCGGCCGGUGUCAGAUUAGGUAGUUGGUGGGGUAAAGGCUAACAAAGCAAACGAUCUGUAGCUGGUCUGAGAGGACGAACAGCCACACUGGGACUGAGAAACGUCCAAGACUCCUACGGGAGGCAGCAGUGGGGAAUUUUGGACAAUGGGCGCAAGCCUGAUCCAGCAAUGCCGCGUGCAGGAAGAAGGCCUUCGGGUUGUAAACUGCUUUUGUACGGAACGAAAAGGUCUGGGUUAAUACCCUGGGCACAUGACGGUACCGUAAGAAUAAGCACCGGCUAACUACGUGCCAGCAGCCGCCGUAA